This is a long non-coding RNA of Dendroctonus ponderosae (mountain pine beetle), 1079 nucleotides long. RefSeq lists it as uncharacterized. NCBI's taxonomy places the organism in Eukaryota, Metazoa, Arthropoda, Insecta, Coleoptera, Curculionidae. The record is from RefSeq and is a predicted model, not a curated record. The transcript has 2 exons.
AUCAAAAUACCUCAAUAAUCAUACAUGAAUCGGCUUUAUUAGCGCUAAUCUGAACAAUCGUCCUUUCAUAUUACAACGAAUUUUUCAAGUAUUUUUAUGAAAUUAAUCACAAUGUUCUAAUCGGCAAGAAGUCGACGAAUUACAGGAAUUACUUGUUUCAAGUGGAUUGACUGUUUUGGUGAAUGUGAAAAGAUUGAUAAAAAUUAUUGUGAUCCCACUUAUUAGAAAUCAGGUGCCCCUCAAGGGGUCGUUUAUCUCUCUUAUGGUGCAAGCAAUUGCUUAUAAUGAAAUUAAUUAAUUUGUAAUAUUAUCUCAAGCGUAGGUAGUAAAUUUGCCUCGAUAGAUCUAAAUAAAAUUUUGUUUAGAAAGUUGCUUGCUAAAUUGCAAUGGAAACCGACUUCAAAGGGCUUAUAAAUUCCUGCAGUUAACAACGCAAAAUCAGGAAAUCCCACCAACCCCGUAACAAAGAGUCACAUUUUCCAGCACGUGAUUUGCUGCCUUGGAUGCAGGAAUUUGCGUAACCACAUCCGGACCAAUUCAUUCGCAUUACUGAAGUUAUUUUCGGGAUUAUCAGGAUUGUGGCAUCGAAUUGAUGUGACAUCGUAGACGGGCAAAGAUAUGCGUAAUUGCAAAACACUUUUUCAGAAAAUAAUAGUAAAAUAAAUGUAUUUGCUUAAUUGCCGUCGUUUAAAUUCCUGUUUGUACAAGUUUCCUGAAGUCGGCUACAUUUCUAAUGAGAUUCAGAUUCAGUUACCAGCAGUUUGGUUUAUUAAUUCGAAUAGUUGCUUUAUAACUUCAUAGCCGAGAGUGUUUGAUUUCCAACUAUAAUGCAAGCGUGAAUACUGCAAGCUCUUGAAAGGAAUAGAGUUAAUAAUUGAAAUCAAGGGAAGGGAUCAGCUGAAAUGUGUCUCUAGUGUGGUUAAUGAGUGCAAUAAUUAAGAAUAAUCGCAUUAAUCAAAGGAGUUAGCCAACUUGAUGGGUUUCAGGGCAGAAAUCAAUGGAAGCAGCUUGAGGAAGAGGAGGAGAAGAAACACCUUUAUAGCUUGAUAUGAAUAAUAUAUUUAACUGUUAGAAAUAUA